GAUGAAGAACGCAGCGAAAUGCGAUAAGUAAUGUGAAUUGCAGAAUUCAGUGAAUCAUCGAAUCUUUGAACGCACACUGCGCCCCUUGGUAUUCCGAGGGGCAUGCCUGUUCGAGCGUCAUUAUAACCCCUCAAGCUCAGCUUGGUGUUGGGGCCUGCUGCACUGGCAGCCCUUAAAAUCAGUGGCGGCGCCAUCUGGCUCUAAGCGUAGUAAUUCUUCUCGCUAUGGAGUCCUGGUGGAUGCUUGCCAUCAACCCCCAAUUUUCUAUGGUUGACCUCGGAUCAGGUAGGGAUACCCGCUGAACUUAAGCAUAUCAAUAAGCGGAGGA
RNAcentral lists this unclassified non-coding RNA (328 nucleotides) under soil metagenome. RNAcentral's name for it is "partial contains 5.8S ribosomal RNA, internal transcribed spacer 2, and large subunit ribosomal RNA". The stretch from base 1 to 120 matches the Rfam family "5.8S ribosomal RNA", at positions 35 to 154 of the family's 154-position model. The record is from RNAcentral.